Xenopus laevis (African clawed frog) is the source of this 666-nucleotide long non-coding RNA. RefSeq lists it as uncharacterized. NCBI's taxonomy places the organism in Eukaryota, Metazoa, Chordata, Amphibia, Anura, Pipidae. The transcript is spliced from 2 exons. The record is from RefSeq and is a predicted model, not a curated record.
UCUAUAAAGACCUAGAGAAGAUCAACAAGGCCAUACUGAUUAAGAACAAUGAGAGAUAUUCAGGUUGUCCUCGGAACUCACAAACGGCAAAUGAUACCAGCACCACCACCAGUUUCCUGGGUACCAAAUACCGAUGUACCUCAGUCUAGACACCACAUCCUCAGGAAACAGCAGUAACUAUGGGACAUCUCAAUUCCACCAGUGAUGCCCCCCUUUCAUCCACUGCACUUUCACCAGCGGUGCUUUCAGCCACUGUAGUUCCACCAGUGGUUCCUCCCCUUUAUCCAAAAUAUGGUGUUAUACACAGGGACUCCUUUAAGCCACUUGGUAGACCCUGCAUUCCUUUUCAUUCCAUCCCUCCAAUGGAAUGGAAAGGAAUGCAGAAUUCAUCGUGCAUCUUAAAUGUGCCCUAGUUUAUGCUGGAAUAUGGAAAAGUACGGAUCCGCACACACUUUAUCUUCAAGCAGAUGGGGGUUAACCCAAGUUUAUUGUGCCACCACCUUAGUGGUGGCACAAUAAACUUGGGUUAACCCAAGUGUGUGCGGAUCCGUACUUUUCCAUAUUCCUCUAUAAGGGACCUUGCCGGGUCCACGGAGACCCAGCACCACUGGAAGCAGAGGAGUAAAUAUACAGGAGUGCGGUGGUGAGAAUUUUCAUAUACCCUUG